RNAcentral lists this long non-coding RNA (369 nucleotides) under Mytilus galloprovincialis (Mediterranean mussel). The record is from RNAcentral. Lineage: Eukaryota; Metazoa; Mollusca; Bivalvia; Mytilida; Mytilidae.
AUUUUGUAUAGAAAUGAACUGUGUAAUAAAAUGUAAAUGGUGAUUUUUUUUAACUGUAUAAAUAUUAUGUAAAUACAUGUAGUGGACUGAAAGUUCUCAUGCAAUAUCUAGACAACUGUACAUUUUUUCAUGAAUAGAAGAUUAUAUUUGAAAGUUAUGAACAGUGUUCUCUCAAGGGCCUUUUAGCAUCAUUGUAAUGUAAUACUAUAUUGCUAGAAUGUGAUGCAAUCUGAAAUUAGUUUCUUAUGGAUAGUGUUCUGGAUGUGAUGCCAUAAUUUUUAGUAAAACAAGAUGGUAUUUCAUAAUUUCCUGUUUCCUGAAGUGGUAGACUGAAAGUUCUCAUGCAAUGUCUAGACAACUAUGCAUUUU